GAUGAACGCUGGCGGUGUGCCUAAUACAUGCAAGUCGAGCGAACAGAUGAGGAGCUUGCUCCUCUGACGUUAGCGGCGGACGGGUGAGUAACACGUGGAUAACCUACCUAUAAGACUGGGAUAACUUCGGGAAACCGGAGCUAAUACCGGAUAAUAUAUUGAACCGCAUGGUUCAAUAGUGAAAGACGGUUUUGCUGUCACUUAUAGAUGGAUCCGCGCCGCAUUAGCUAGUUGGUAAGGUAACGGCUUACCAAGGCAACGAUGCGUAGCCGACCUGAGAGGGUGAUCGGCCACACUGGAACUGAGACACGGUCCAGACUCCUACGGGAGGCAGCGGUAGGGAAUCUUCCGCAAUGGGCGAAAGCCUGACGGAGCAACGCCGCGUGAGUGAUGAAGGUCUUCGGAUCGUAAAACUCUGUUAUUAGGGAAGAACAAAUGUGUAAGUAACUAUGCACGUCUUGACGGUACCUAAUCAGAAAGCCACGGCUAACUACGUG
This 497-nucleotide ribosomal RNA is filed under the name uncultured bacterium. Its description in RNAcentral is "partial 16S ribosomal RNA". It matches the Rfam family "Bacterial small subunit ribosomal RNA", at positions 28 to 507 of the family's 1533-position model. The record is from RNAcentral.